GACGAACGCUGGCGGCGUGCUUAACACAUGCAAGUCGAACGGAAAGGCCCUGCUUUUGUGGGGUGCUCGAGUGGCGAACGGGUGAGUAACACGUGAGUAACCUGCCCUUGACUUUGGGAUAACUUCAGGAAACUGGGGCUAAUACCGGAUAGGAGCUCCUGCUGCAUGGUGGGGGUUGGAAAGUUUCGGCGGUUGGGGAUGGACUCGCGGCUUAUCAGCUUGUUGGUGGGGUAGUGGCUUACCAAGGCUUUGACGGGUAGCCGGCCUGAGAGGGUGACCGGCCACAUUGGGACUGGGAUACGGCCCAGACUCCUACGGGAGGCAGCAGUGGGGAAUAUUGCACAAUGGGCGGAAGCCUGAUGCAGCAACGCCGCGUGCGGGAUGACGGCCUUCGGGUUGUACACCGCUUUCGCCUGUGACGAAGCGUGAGUGACGGUAAUGGGUAAAGAAGCACCGGCUAACUACGUG
This 468-nucleotide ribosomal RNA is filed under the name uncultured bacterium. RNAcentral describes it as "partial 16S ribosomal RNA". It matches the Rfam family "Bacterial small subunit ribosomal RNA", at positions 28 to 507 of the family's 1533-position model. The record is from RNAcentral.